This is a long non-coding RNA of Boleophthalmus pectinirostris (great blue-spotted mudskipper), 518 nucleotides long. RefSeq lists it as uncharacterized. NCBI's taxonomy places the organism in Eukaryota, Metazoa, Chordata, Actinopteri, Gobiiformes, Gobiidae. The transcript is spliced from 3 exons. The record is from RefSeq and is a predicted model, not a curated record.
AUCUGCAGUGAUGGAGGUGUGGCUCGGUGCCCACACCACCACAGCUGAGAGGACAGAGGAGAGCUCCACUAGAUCUGAUUACUCCAAAUAGUACCGUGGAUUAUUCAUCAAUGUUAUAAAAUGAGAAGAUUGUGUAAAUGUGGUUCGUUGGCAUGCCGACCGGAUGGCUCUCUUCUCGGAUUAUGUCAGCGCCUUGAGCAGAUGCUAUCGACGUCCAUAAAGGGAGAGACUCACUCGCUACUAUAAUGUGCGCGCUGUGGCCAUGGGCAACAACUUCCACUGCAGCCCCAUCACUCAAGCCCCAGCCCUGCCGUUCCUGUCAAAAGGGCCGGGUCAUGGGGGCAACAGUUUAAGCAGGGACUCCCAGACUUCCUUCUCUCCAGACACUUCCUCCAGCUCCUCAGGGGGGACCCCAAGGUGUUCCCAGGCCAGCUGAGAGACAAAGUCCCUCCAGCGUGUCCUGUGUCUUCCCCAGGGCCUCCUCUCGUUGGGACAUGCCCAGAAGGCGCCCGGGGAGG